AGAGUUUGAUCCUGGCUCAGAUUGAACGCUGGCGGCAGGCCUAACACAUGCAAGUCGAGCGGAUGACGGGAGCUUGCUCCUUGAUUCAGCGGCGGACGGGUGAGUAAUGCCUAGGAAUCUGCCUGGUAGUGGGGGACAACGUUUCGAAAGGAACGCUAAUACCGCAUACGUCCUACGGGAGAAAGCAGGGGACCUUCGGGCCUUGCGCUAUCAGAUGAGCCUAGGUCGGAUUAGCUAGUUGGUGGGGUAAUGGCUCACCAAGGCGACGAUCCGUAACUGGUCUGAGAGGAUGAUCAGUCACACUGGAACUGAGACACGGUCCAGACUCCUACGGGAGGCAGCAGUGGGGAAUAUUGGACAAUGGGCGAAAGCCUGAUCCAGCCAUGCCGCGUGUGUGAAGAAGGUCUUCGGAUUGUAAAGCACUUUAAGUUGGGAGGAAGGGCAGUAAGCUAAUACCUUGCUGUUUUGACGUUACCGACAGAAUAAGCACCGGCUAACUCUGUGCCAGCAGCCGCGGU
This 518-nucleotide ribosomal RNA is filed under the name Pseudomonas sp. Hugh1871. RNAcentral describes it as "bacterial SSU rRNA". It matches the Rfam family "Bacterial small subunit ribosomal RNA", at positions 8 to 521 of the family's 1533-position model. The record is from RNAcentral. Lineage: Bacteria; Pseudomonadati; Pseudomonadota; Gammaproteobacteria; Pseudomonadales; Pseudomonadaceae.